RNAcentral lists this ribosomal RNA (247 nucleotides) under uncultured bacterium. RNAcentral describes it as "partial 16S ribosomal RNA". It matches the Rfam family "Bacterial small subunit ribosomal RNA", at positions 57 to 305 of the family's 1533-position model. The record is from RNAcentral.
GCAAGUCGAACGCGAAAGAGACCUUCGGGUCUUGAGUAGAGUGGCGGACGGGUGAGUAACGCGUAGGAAUCUGCCUGGUAGCGGGGGACAACCUGGUGAAAACCAGGCUAAUACCGCAUACGCCCUACGGGGGAAAGCAGGGGAUCUUCGGACCUUGCACUAUCAGAUGGGCCUGCGUCGGAUUAGCUAGUUGGUGAGGUAAUGGCUCACCAAGGCGACGAUGGUUAGCGGGUCUGAGAGGAUGAUC